RNAcentral lists this ribozyme (73 nucleotides) under unclassified sequences. RNAcentral's name for it is "HDV ribozyme from F. prausnitzii". It matches the Rfam family "HDV ribozyme from F. prausnitzii". The record is from RNAcentral.
GCUGCUCGAAUAAUAUCACACACCUCUUCGUGGUGAGCAGCAGGCAACGAUCCAUGAUAGGCUAAGUGUGAGA